This is a long non-coding RNA of Ziziphus jujuba (common jujube), 2241 nucleotides long. RefSeq lists it as uncharacterized. The transcript is spliced from 4 exons. The record is from RefSeq and is a predicted model, not a curated record. Lineage: Eukaryota; Viridiplantae; Streptophyta; Magnoliopsida; Rosales; Rhamnaceae.
UCCUUCCUUUCUUUUGUCUUUUGCUCACUUCUUUUUCUUUUUUCUUUUUUUUUUCCUUUCUUUUCCACCAACUCUCUGCAAUUUUUUGUCCCCUGUCAAAACCUAGCUUUUCUUUUUCUUUUUUUUUUUCCUUCCUUUCUUGCGUCUUUUGCUCACUUCCUUUUCUUUUUUAUUUCUUUUUCCUUUCUUUUCCACCAUCUCUCUGCAAUUUUGUUUCCCCUAUUAGAACCCAAAUUUUUUUUUCCUUCCUUUCUUUUGUCUUUUCCUCUCUUCUUCUCUUCUCCUUCAUCAAGACAUUUUACGUCUUUUUUUUUUCUUCCUUUCUUUUGUCUUAUCCUCUUUUCCUUUUUAUGUUUUUUUUUUUCCCUUUUUGUUCCAAGCCAGCCUUAAUUAAAGGAUGGAAGUUCUUAUUUGUAUGCAGAAAGCUACAAAGGCAGUGCUGAUACGGGAAAAACUCAAUCAACAUGUUAUCAAUUUGGAAUGCAAAGGAAGGAUAAGAAACAAUUGCAAUAUGAUUUGAAGGACCUAUAGGAUUCGGUAAUUGUUGUAGGAUAUCCCCUUGGAGGAGACACCAUUUCAGUAAUAAAAGGUGUAGUAUCACGUAUAGAGGUAACAUCAUAUGCUCAUGGGUCAUCCAAUUUGCAAAUUGAUGUAGCAAUAAAUCUUGGUUCGUUUGUACCUGAAAUUUAUAGAGAAGGAGAAUUUAUAUCUCUAUGGAUUUCCAAAUGAGACAUGGGAAGUUAAUCUACCUAUUGAGGAGGUGCCUCCUAAGUUUCCAGAACUAGCCUUAGGUACAAAUCACGCUAAGGAUGCGAUGCAAAAGAAGGAUUGGUUGUCACUAGUUGCCAAUGCAAUUGUUAAAAAAAAUUUAUUCUAGAGCAAGUUAUCCACUUGCUUAUGGAAUAGGCCCUGGGGAGAUAGAUGCGGCCUACAUGUGGUUUUUUUAGAGAUUCAAAUAAGUGUUUGGUGAUAAUCCUAAUAUAGCUUUUAUAUCGAACAGACAUAAGAGUAUUGCAAAAGCGAUUAUAUCACCACGGCCACUAUACAUAUCAUCUUGGUACAAAUUUACGUGCUAAGAAGUUUAAAGGUAAUGUCAAUGUAAUUAUAUCAACUUUUAAUUAUGCAGCUAGAGCAUAUAUUGUUAAGGAAUUUGAUAAGGCCAUGCAGAUUUUAGAAGGAGUUAGUAUUGAAGUUAUACAAUAUCUCAAGGAUGAAAAUCCUACUAAGUGGGCUAGAUCACAUUUUCCGGGCAAUAGAUACAACAUCAUGACCAGUAACAUCGCAGAGAGCAUGAAUUCCAUGCUAGGGAUAAACCCAUUUUGGCACUACUAGAUCAAAACCGUGAUGUCUUGCAAAAGUGGUGGUAUGAAUGUCGAAAUAAUGCAGCUGCAAUGCAAACUCCUAUUACUAAUUGGUUGGAAAAGAUCAUGCAAAAGCGCUCAAAUAAUGGCAGAGGCUUUCGUGUUAUUCCAUUAAACUUAUAUAAGUUUCAGGUUGUUGGCCUUAGGGUGUUGGUUGGAGUUGUCAACUUAGAAAGUAAGACAUGCUUAUGUAAGGAAUUCGGCAUCAAUUUCUUUCUGUCCAUGCAAUUGCAGCAUGUAAGUAUUGACAUAUUUCUCCAUAUACCCUUUGAUCGGCGCAUUACUCAGUUGAAUCUCUCCGUGACGCAUAUUUGGAGACCAUAUAUCCACUUGGAGAUAAAUGUCAGUGGCGUGCUCUAGAUGAUGUCAUAAAUCAGCUUGUACAUAUAUCCACUUGGAGAUAAAUGUUAGUGGCGUGCUCUAGAUGAUGUCAUAAAUCAGCUUGUACUUCCACCUAAGAUUGGCAAACAGUCAGGAAGACUAAGAAAGAAACGGAUUCAAUCUCAAGGAGAGGAGCACCUUCAAUAUAGAUGUGGGAGGUGUAAAUAGAUUGGUCACAACAGACUAUCUUGCUUGACCAUUGUACUUCUUGAUAGCACUACCAACCAACAACAACAUUCAACAUCUGGACCAUAAAUCUCUUUAUACGAUGUUAAGCCCCUGUAUGUGUAGUUUUGUUAUACAUUUAGUUGUAGUAUGCUUGUGUUAUGCAAUGUUGGAAGAAUGUAAUUAGUAGCCCAACUGCUUAACGUGUGAUUUAGUAAAAAAGUCCUUGGUUUCAUGUAUUGUUUUGGUAAAAUAGCAUUGUGUGAUUAGUAUGUUGUAUGUUUUUUUAUUGUUACGAAGAUGCUAUUCGAUAAUAGUGAUAAUACGCUAUUUA